This 479-nucleotide ribosomal RNA is filed under the name uncultured organism. RNAcentral describes it as "partial 16S ribosomal RNA". It matches the Rfam family "Bacterial small subunit ribosomal RNA", at positions 330 to 800 of the family's 1533-position model. The record is from RNAcentral.
CGUACACUCCUGCGGGAGGCAGCAGUGGGGAAUUUUGGACAAUGGGCGAAAGCCUGAUCCAGCCAUGCCGCGUGCAGGAUGAAGGCCUUCGGGUUGUAAACUGCUUUUGUACGGAACGAAACGGCCUUUUCUAAUAAAGAGGGCUAAUGACGGUACCGUAAGAAUAAGCACCGGCUAACUACGUGCCAGCAGCCGCGGUAAUACGUAGGGUGCAAGCGUUAAUCGGAAUUACUGGGCGUAAAGCGUGCGCAGGCGGUUAUGUAAGACAGUUGUGAAAUCCCCGGGCUCAACCUGGGAACUGCAUCUGUGACUGCAUAGCUAGAGUACGGUAGAGGGGGAUGGAAUUCCGCGUGUAGCAGUGAAAUGCGUAGAUAUGCGGAGGAACACCGAUGGCGAAGGCAAUCCCCUGGACCUGUACUGACGCUCAUGCACGAAAGCGUGGGGAGCAAACAGGAUUAGAUACCCCGGUAGUCCCAUGA